Small nuclear RNA from Cynara cardunculus var. scolymus (artichoke), 161 nucleotides. RefSeq annotates it as U1 spliceosomal RNA. NCBI's taxonomy places the organism in Eukaryota, Viridiplantae, Streptophyta, Magnoliopsida, Asterales, Asteraceae. The record is from RefSeq and is a predicted model, not a curated record. The transcript has a single exon.
CCGCUUAACUUGACGGGAUCAAUUGAUGAUCAACAAGACUCAUGGUCUAGGUUGAUGACCUCUAUUGCGUUUAGGAGGAAUGUCUCACUAAGGUUGGCCCAAGUGGUCGAGCCUAUAUCAUAGUUUAUGACAGUGGAGGCCUAUGUUCGUGCAGCCCUUGU